GGAGACAAUAUUUACAAAACAUCAGAUAUAUUUAAUUUUUUACAAAAAUAAUAUCAAUCAUAGCUCUACGAAUUCUUGGCUUCUCAAUUUGAAUUGUUACUUGAUUUCGCUAUUCAAAAAGAAGCCAAAAUGACUGACUACCACAUUACCAAAGGGUAUGACUUGAUAUGGACACUCACGUAUAUAUAUAUUUUUUGAUAAGAUGAAGUACUUAUACAAAUCUAAUAUGAAUACAUUCAAAAAGAUCAAAAAAAAUUAUGAAGUGACGUUGGAAGAUCAAAAACAUCAAUCCACAAGAUCUCUCUGAUAUACUUCAUAACAUAUGAAGCUACUAAAUUCACAAUACUAUUCACCUUCCGAUGGAUAUGUCUGAUAACUAUCGAGGUGCACUCUUCCUCUAGUCACCAUAUAUCCUAUAGGAGUAGAUGCACCAUUACAUCUUUGGAUUGUUUUCACAUUCAGCCAACCACAGUGGCCAAAUCUCCCUCAAGAAUGAGCCUCUAAGCUCCCAGUGUCGUCCUGGAGAAGAUAAUAUUCGACUAAGUUGCUCGUAGCUCUGCUCCUGAAAUAAUAUUGUUAAAGAGGUGGCUCUCACUUGCUGCCAUAAAUCUUGAGUUAGAGCCUCAAAUGAUGAACCCUACUCCUCCCUUGUACCACUAAUGUUGCCAUCAAAGUUGAUUUUGAGAAAACUUAGAGGUAGAGGCUCCCAAGUGAUAAAUACCAGGCAAGAUAUUGAAGGAGCAAGCAAGGAGCCCCACGUGUCCCAAGUCAACAAAGCUGAUCCAGUUGAUGAUAAGUGAUGGAAUUUCGUGCCCUAAGCUUGCAUCCUCUCUAAAGUGAACCUCAUCGACUACCACCUCACCUCAAAGAUGCCACUAUUCCUAGCCAACCAUAUGUGACAAGCAAUACAGACAACUUUGGUACCCCACAUCUUGGAAGACUAUGAUCUAAUACUCCACCACAAUGCCUCAAGGAAAACUUGAAUCAGUGACACGGUACGAGGAAUCACGGGGAAGAAUCUAGCAUUUGCUAGGCCUAUAUGGCUCUCGGGCAAUGGAAGAGGAUGUGGUCAACUAUCUCAUUCUUCGACCUAUAGCAAAGAUAGGUAGAUGGGAGAUCCAUACCUUUGGCAUGCAGAACUAUCCUAGUUGGAAGAUGGCACCAAGCAACCUUCCAUAGGAAUAGAUCGACUUAUGGAUGAACAUGAAGCCUUCAGAUCUAGACCCUAUCUAAGCUUUUGAUCGACACCCCUCUAUACAAAUCAUUGAGAUCCUUGGUCUCCACCCUCAAUGUGCAGGCUAAUCCUAGACUCUUAAAAUCUCGGCCUCUAUGUAUAGGAAUAGCAAGGGACAACACCUUCUUAGCCAGUGGAUCUCCAAAGAGUCUAGACACCAAACCAGCAUUCCAACCACUUUCCCUUGGCUGGAUUAAGUCACAUAUUUGCAUUGAGUCGGUCACCUUCAUAGUACUGACAAAAGUUAGCCAUCUAGUCAGUAGAAACUAAGCAAUCCAUAUAUCCUGAGAGAGAUCCACUAUUUGCCUAUCACUAAUCAACCAUCUAAUCUAGGCCAUUUUCUCAAAAAUUUGAGAGCGGACAUCCCUCUACAUGAAGGAACUAUUCUGACUAUGUCGGGCAUCAAUGCCGAAGGACCAUGAGCCAUACCUGGCUCUCAUCAUAGUGCUCCAGAUGCCAUCUGGAUGGAGAAAGAAUCAUGUAGCAUGUUUAGCAAUCGGAGCAUUACGCAUUGCCAUAGGGAUUAGACACCCGACCCCCCAUCACCAGUUGACAAACCACAUCUCAUGCCAAAAGAUGCACCCUACUUCUUCUCUGGUGCGACCCCCACAUAAAGUUCCUAAAGCACUACUCUAGUUCAUCAGUGAGGUCCUCGAAAGGAUAGUGUUGGACAUCAAAUGGACUGGGUCUGAGGUAAGUACCGAUCUGACUAGGAUAAUCUUUUCUAUCAUGGACAAUGAUCUAGUCUGCCAUCCCUCCAACUGCUUUCAGAUCGCCACCUCUAUCCUAGAGCACUCGACCCUCCUGAGUCUCUUCCCUAUGAUAGAAACCUUCAAAUAGUGACAAGUCCUGCACUACUUAGCAAUCCCUAGAUGCUCCUUAAUCACCUACCUCAGUUGAGCUUUGGUCUUCAAGUAAAAUACACCUUUCUAAUCCAAGGCUUUAUAGUACUCCUCUAGAAUCCUCCUGAAUGUGGUAGCAUUCCGAGCAAUCGUCUGGCCUAACAGAAGGCAAUCACCUACAAAAAGAAGAUAUAAGAUCAGUCGAGCCCCCA
RNAcentral lists this long non-coding RNA (2288 nucleotides) under Elaeis guineensis (African oil palm). RNAcentral's name for it is "long non-coding RNA (EGUI_LNC024250)". The record is from RNAcentral. Lineage: Eukaryota; Viridiplantae; Streptophyta; Magnoliopsida; Arecales; Arecaceae.